GAUGAACGCUGGCGGCGUGCCUAAUACAUGCAAGUCGAGCGAACAGACGAGGAGCUUGCUCCUCUGACGUUAGCGGCGGACGGGUGAGUAACACGUGGAUAACCUACCUAUAAGACUGGGAUAACUUCGGGAAACCGGAGCUAAUACCGGAUAAUAUAUUGAACCGCAUGGUUCAAUAGUGAAAGACGGUUUUGCUGUUACUUAUAGAUGGCUCCGCGCCGCAUUAGCUAGUUGGUAAGGUAACGGCUUACCAAGGCAACGAUGCGUAGCCGACCUGAGAGGGUGAUCGGCCACACUGGAACUGAGACACGGUCCAGACUCCUACGGGAGGCAGCAGUAGGGAAUCUUCCGCAAUGGGCGAAAGCCUGACGGAGCAACGCCGCGUGAGUGAUGAAGGUCUUCUGAUCGUAAAACUCUGUUAUUAGGGAAGAACAAAUGUGUAAGUAACUAUGCACGUCUUGACGGUACCUAAUCAGAAAGCCACGGCUAACUACGUG
This 497-nucleotide ribosomal RNA is filed under the name uncultured bacterium. RNAcentral describes it as "partial 16S ribosomal RNA". It matches the Rfam family "Bacterial small subunit ribosomal RNA", at positions 28 to 507 of the family's 1533-position model. The record is from RNAcentral.